AAAAGGGGUUUUUUCGUGUUAAGAUACAGAGAGAAGGAGUGGAGAUUGUUCUUCGGGGAAAGAUAUACAUUAGGGAGCUAAUCUUUCAUAAUUCUUGAAGAAAUACGUGAUAAGAUUAAUAAUUCAGAGUAUUGACCCAGCAAAACAAGAGCUUAAUUUCUUGAGUAAGAGGUGUUUGGAAGGAGAAUCUGGAAUGAAGAAGUACGGUCUGCAGCUUAGGGUUCCACCAUCCCAACAGAAAAAGCAAUCCAAACCUCCCUUGCAUCCUCUUAUAUUUUCAGACGACAUUGAUGAAGACAUCGGUGGAGACAUUGCUCGCCAAGCUGUCAAUAAGAAGGUUCUCAGAGAUGUUGAAGAGCAGCACAAAAAAGCCUUGGAAGAGGAUCCAUCGGUUUUUGACUAUGAUGGGGUCUAUGAAGAAAUGAAAGAGAGAACAGCACGCCCUAUCAUACAGGAUCGUCAAGAGAAACAGUCAAAAUACAUCCACACUUUACUGGCGAAGGCUAAAGAAAGAGAACGAGAGCAUGACGUUGCAUAUGAGAGGAAACUUGCUAAAGAGAGAAACAAAGAUGACCAUCUCUUUGGAGACAAAGAAAAGUUCGUCACAGGUGCGUACAAGAGAAAACUUGCAGAGCAGGCAAAAUGGUUGGAAGAAGAACGAAUACGCGAGCUUCGUGAGGAAAAAGAUGAUGCUACCAAGAAAAGUGACAUUAGUGACUUCUACUUCAACCUUGGGAAAAAUGUCGCUUUUGGUGCUGGAGGGGUUGAAUCUAGUGUGGCAGCGAAAAAGGAAGUGAAAGUUAUUGCCGAUACCUCAGAAAGAGAUGUUAGUCCCGUGAUGGAACCACCUUCAAGCUCUAGACGUGAGAAAGAUGGUGAUCGAGCUGGCUUUUCUGCUCCUUCUGAGACAAAUGUUGACACUUCAGACGGGAAAUUUGUACCCACUGACAGUCUUCAAGUAAGCAAUGUAGUGCCUAAACCAAUUGCCGAUCAAUCAGACCAGGAUCUUCAUAAAAAACCUGAAGCCGCAUUAUCUGCAGCGAAAGAACGUUUUAUGGCGCGGAAAAGAGCAAAACAACAAUAGCGUUUGGUUGAUGGAGCAGAUGAGUACCUCAAGUUGGAGUCUGUCAUAUAUGAGUAACUUCAGUAUCAAAGGAGAGAAACAUUUCGGAGAUCAGAUUGGUUGUUAUAGAGAUGACUCAAUCUUUGCUUAAGGAGGAAAUGUCGAAGCUCACCCCUAUAUCCAGUUGGACCAGGUUCCUUUUUACCUUCCUAUUUAAAUGAUUUUUUUUGUUGUUUUGUUGAUAACGAUGUCUUGGUGAUGAUGGUGCAGUCAUGGUUGUUAUACGGUGGCAGUGUUAUUCUUAUUCAGCUUUCAAAUCACAAGAAUACUACAGAUGACUUAGUCUUAUUAGUCUCUUUAUACAACAACUAGAUAGAGUCCUGGUAAUCCCUAGCCUUCUUGGAAGAACAAUUAUAUUUAAACAUCGUCUACCUCAUUAUCCAGAAGCCUCCAUGAACCAUCAGAAUCUUGUACCAUGCCCUUGUUCUGUUCACACCACCACGAUUCUGGAAUGUGGUAUAUGUCUUUCAAGUUGUUUGUUUUUUUAUUUAUCAGCGCGAGAUCACGGCAUACUUGCAAUUUAAACUCUUCAUUACCCUGUGAUCCUGCAACUCCAUGAAGGUAAGCCUCCAAGUUAUGCCAACUUGAAAAAUCUCCUGGCCCCUUCAAGUAUGGAGACUUAUGUGUAUCAAUAGUUAACUCCACACCCGGGUCAGAGUAACCUACUAAUGGCCAGUGUGGUACAAAGUCAAGUGCAUUACGGAUGCGCAACAGUCUGAGAUCUUCCAUUCCUGAAAUGACAUGUUUGAAGUUUUCAUCUCCUACUCUUGGACUGGCAAAAACGAUUGCAGUGACUGGAAACGAUUUAUUUGGCUCCUUGGAUUUGUUGUAUUCAUUUGCAACAAUGUCAGCUGCAUUUAGGGUUCCAAGUGCACCCCCCAAACUAUGUCCGGUUACAGUUAUACUGAUUUCUUCAUUCUUGAAUGCUUCGACUAACCUUCUUACUUCAGCAAGAACCUGCAUUUGUUUAUAUAUAUCAUUUGCAGUUAGUACAUGUUGAUAUCAAUGAUGGCACCUUUUUGAAAGACUAUAAAUAGAUCAUCAAAUAAAAAACCAAGG
Molecule: RNA transcript, 2182 nt
Organism: Papaver somniferum (opium poppy)
Lineage: Eukaryota; Viridiplantae; Streptophyta; Magnoliopsida; Ranunculales; Papaveraceae
Gene name: nuclear speckle splicing regulatory protein 1-like
Exons: 7
Source: RefSeq, a predicted model, not a curated record